This 309-nucleotide long non-coding RNA is filed under the name Salvia miltiorrhiza (redroot sage). RNAcentral's name for it is "long non-coding RNA (SMIL_LNC003808)". The record is from RNAcentral. Lineage: Eukaryota; Viridiplantae; Streptophyta; Magnoliopsida; Lamiales; Lamiaceae.
GCCGGCAUCUCCACAAGGCAGCGUACACGGUGAUGUCCUUCCCUUGUGUUUGUUUUUUCUUUUUGUUUCUCUUUGUCUUGUGUUUUUGUUAGUUUUUUGUGUGCUUCCCUUUUUUAUGCUUUUUCUUGUUUGCUUGAGGGCAAGCAACGUCUAAGUGUGAGGAGGGGGAUGUGUCUUUGUUUUUGUGUGUCUGUGUUGAGUCGUUGUGAUGUCUUGCAUGUUAGCCAAGUGAGUGUUAGUUUGUUAGUUUUGUGUACGCAUGCUGCCAAGUUGCACUUUGUAAUGAAGUAGAUGACUUGAUACUUUUGG